Long non-coding RNA from Motacilla alba alba, 603 nucleotides. RefSeq lists it as uncharacterized. The transcript has 5 exons. The record is from RefSeq and is a predicted model, not a curated record. Lineage: Eukaryota; Metazoa; Chordata; Aves; Passeriformes; Motacillidae.
AGAGAAGUGAUACUCCCACUGCUUUUAGCUUUGCUGCAUGUUAUGUGAGCACCGUAAAAGCUGCAGGGGGAAAUAAAAUUUUCAAGAGGCAAAUGUUCAGAACUUCUCAGCAGCAGAAAUAUACAGACAGGCCAUGGAUUUCUUGUGAUCAUAAUGGGUACUGCAGAAUGGGCACUGCGACACUCAGAGAAAUGAUUCAGGAGCUGUCCCUGGGAGUACAGACUCACACUAUAAGCUGAUGAUUUGGUCUGACCUGAAGAGUCUAACUGAAGAGGGCCUUUCCGUGAAGCGGUAGAGAAGACUGUCAUCUCCUAAUGAAUUCCAGGUAGCAAAUGAAGUCACAGGCUCUAUUUAAUACAUUACCCAAGAUUUGAACUGAUGGAGAUGAUCAAAUCCAUCUGCCAAUGGAUUUCACAGAAUCACAGCAGCUUGGGAGGGAUCUUCAGAAGCCAUCUGGACUAAUUCCUUGCUCAAGCCAGAACACACAGAACCUGUUGCCAGAACCAUGUCUAAAAGGCUUUUGAAUACCUUCAAAAAUGGAGACUCCAUAACCUCCCCAGGCAAUCUGUGCCAGUGCUUGGUCAUCCUCACAAUAAAAAAGUG